RNAcentral lists this ribosomal RNA (1465 nucleotides) under Escherichia coli. Its description in RNAcentral is "partial 23S ribosomal RNA". It matches the Rfam family "Bacterial large subunit ribosomal RNA", at positions 419 to 1869 of the family's 2925-position model. Lineage: Bacteria; Pseudomonadati; Pseudomonadota; Gammaproteobacteria; Enterobacterales; Enterobacteriaceae. The record is from RNAcentral.
GGGACACGUGGUAUCCUGUCUGAAUAUGGGGGGACCAUCCUCCAAGGCUAAAUACUCCUGACUGACCGAUAGUGAACCAGUACCGUGAGGGAAAGGCGAAAAGAACCCCGGCGAGGGGAGUGAAAAAGAACCUGAAACCGUGUACGUACAAGCAGUGGGAGCACGCUUAGGCGUGUGACUGCGUACCUUUUGUAUAAUGGGUCAGCGACUUAUAUUCUGUAGCAAGGUUAACCGAAUAGGGGAGCCGAAGGGAAACCGAGUCUUAACUGGGCGUUAAGUUGCAGGGUAUAGACCCGAAACCCGGUGAUCUAGCCAUGGGCAGGUUGAAGGUUGGGUAACACUAACUGGAGGACCGAACCGACUAAUGUUGAAAAAUUAGCGGAUGACUUGUGGCUGGGGGUGAAAGGCCAAUCAAACCGGGAGAUAGCUGGUUCUCCCCGAAAGCUAUUUAGGUAGCGCCUCGUGAAUUCAUCUCCGGGGGUAGAGCACUGUUUCGGCAAGGGGGUCAUCCCGACUUACCAACCCGAUGCAAACUGCGAAUACCGGAGAAUGUUAUCACGGGAGACACACGGCGGGUGCUAACGUCCGUCGUGAAGAGGGAAACAACCCAGACCGCCAGCUAAGGUCCCAAAGUCAUGGUUAAGUGGGAAACGAUGUGGGAAGGCCCAGACAGCCAGGAUGUUGGCUUAGAAGCAGCCAUCAUUUAAAGAAAGCGUAAUAGCUCACUGGUCGAGUCGGCCUGCGCGGAAGAUGUAACGGGGCUAAACCAUGCACCGAAGCUGCGGCAGCGACGCUUAUGCGUUGUUGGGUAGGGGAGCGUUCUGUAAGCCUGCGAAGGUGUGCUGUGAGGCAUGCUGGAGGUAUCAGAAGUGCGAAUGCUGACAUAAGUAACGAUAAAGCGGGUGAAAAGCCCGCUCGCCGGAAGACCAAGGGUUCCUGUCCAACGUUAAUCGGGGCAGGGUGAGUCGACCCCUAAGGCGAGGCCGAAAGGCGUAGUCGAUGGGAAACAGGUUAAUAUUCCUGUACUUGGUGUUACUGCGAAGGGGGGACGGAGAAGGCUAUGUUGGCCGGGCGACGGUUGUCCCGGUUUAAGCGUGUAGGCUGGUUUUCCAGGCAAAUCCGGAAAAUCAAGGCUGAGGCGUGAUGACGAGGCACUACGGUGCUGAAGCAACAAAUGCCCUGCUUCCAGGAAAAGCCUCUAAGCAUCAGGUAACAUCAAAUCGUACCCCAAACCGACACAGGUGGUCAGGUAGAGAAUACCAAGGCGCUUGAGAGAACUCGGGUGAAGGAACUAGGCAAAAUGGUGCCGUAACUUCGGGAGAAGGCACGCUGAUACGUAGGUGAAGUCCCUCGCGGAUGGAGCUGAAAUCAGUCGAAGAUACCAGCUGGCUGCAACUGUUUAUUAAAAACACAGCACUGUGCAAACACGAAAGUGGACGUAUACGGUGUGACGCCUGCCCGGUGC